This 10605-nucleotide long non-coding RNA is filed under the name Lathyrus oleraceus (garden pea). RNAcentral describes it as "Pisum sativum (pea) long non-coding RNA (PSAT_LNC036337)". The record is from RNAcentral. Lineage: Eukaryota; Viridiplantae; Streptophyta; Magnoliopsida; Fabales; Fabaceae.
UUAUUUGAAAAGUAAGACAUUUUGCAUUAAUUUAAAGCAUCAUUUUCAUUCAAAUUUGUCCAUUCAUUCAUACAAAACCGUUUACAAACACAUACAAAGAAAAUUAUAAAAAAAAUGCUUCUUUGAACAAAGGUUGACUUUGGCUAACAAUUGACUUUUUGGUCAACUUUGACCAAAGUCAACCAUUUAAGACUUAAGACCUAACUCUAACUUCUUCAUCCAUCAUCCUCAUGAUCAUGUGCUUUUAAGCUUCAUGCCAAUUUUCUUCCAUGCCAUGCCACUUUCUCUUUGCACAUGAAUACCUUAAAAGGGCAAAACAAAGCCAUAAGUAUUGUCUUCAAGUUUAAAACAUGACUUUCCAAGGCAACCAUGACAUGUCAUUCAAUGGCAAUGUAAUAUCAACACCAUUGAUUUAGUAGUAGUAACAUUGACAUAGCUUAACAUUUUAACAAACUCAUAACAUUCAUUUCAUAACCAUCCUUGAAUUUGCUACCACUAACUUUUUCUUAACAUGAACAAACCAUUUCCAAUUUAUAACUAUGCAUGGACCAAAGCAAAUCGAAACUAACAAUUAAUCAUAAUUUCAGUUUUCAUAAUAAUGCAUUCAUCAACCAUUCCAAAACAUGACAAGUGCACCAAAACUAGGAACCAAAAGACUUCAAAAUCGCAAAUAAAGUUUCUAUGUGAUUACCUUACCACUAAGCUUGGGGAUUUUUUUGCCUUCUACUAUUGCUGCCCCUUUCAACAUAAUGUAUAUCCGUGGACUUCAUCAUUCAACAAUGUAUGAAUCACUAGUUCCAUGACCUACUGUCAGAAUCAAACAGAGAAAGCAAUUUAGCAUGAUCAUUACCAUCAUUUUCAUAGAAUUUUAGUCAUGACAAGAAUCAUGUUAGGGUUUCUAAUUUGCUAGCAGCAUUUAACAAGAACAACAGUUAAUUCGGUAUCUCAAUGCAGAGCUAAACCAACUCACUUCAGACCCAUAACAAAGUCAAUUAAUCACCAAAAACUAACUUCUAAUUUAACUAAUUCUGAGUUACAUGUCAACCUACCUACUAACCAAUUAACCAAUACCUACUGGAGUUCCACAUAACUGACAUAUUGACCUACAAAUAAACUAAUAUUAAUCAGUUUUCUAAUUGAACUAACAAGCUCAAACACUAACCCUACAGAACCAAUGGAUGAAAUAUAACAGAAAAUUCAAAAGAUUUCCAACGACACAUUCAUGUAACAAGGCUCAUUGCAGCUCACCAUUAGUUAACCUGGGUGUAGCGAUACAUAAUCUUUUCAUCCUAACCUAAACUAACUUAUUCCAAUUGCAAAUAACAGAAAUCCUGAAUUUAUAACUAACAUUACAUUUCAUGUGAAUUUCAUCUAAAUUUCUGACAUGCUUGGGGCUCUAUAUAAGCGUACCUUCACUGUAAUUUUGGGAGGGGAUUCAUUAUUCAGAUUUCAUUUCAAACUCUUCCAAAAGCUCUGAGAGUUCUGAUUCGUUCUUCACUCUCACUUUUCAUUCAUACAAGCAAAUUGAAUCUUCAGUCUUCUUGGAUUCAUACAUUCACACGCAGAAUCCUCUUCAUACAGGCACCAGAAACACACGAAUCACGUCACAUCAAAGGGAGAUCGAAGAAGAUUCAAGAAGAAGGAAUCGAAGACGAAUGAUUACCUCGUGGAGCACCGAGAAGCCGCUGUGCUUGAACGCUGCUUCGGUACACUUUAACCUUAUUGAAUUUAUCUCCUACUUGCAUUUCGUUUUGAGUUGGUGAUGGCGUGUUUGAGUUUUGGCGGAUUCUUCACGGCGUGUUCGGAAUUUGAGAUCUGAGCUUCAAUUCAGAUUCACGUAUUCGUUGCAACCUUCAACGAUUUGGAAAACUCAGGAGUAUGUUCUUUGAUUUGGAGUUUCAUAACUUGAAUCCAGAAUGCGAAGGAGAAUGAAGAACGCGAUGCUGAAUAUUGGAACGUGAUACUGACUUUUUCAUAUGAGCGCCUUUGUUCUUCAGCUUGGUGAACUUUCCCAUUUUGUAGCUUGGAUUAGGUUUGGUCCUAAGGCUUAAACGAUUUGUUCUAUGCACACACUUGCCAUGGACCUACAACUCCCUAGAGCGACCGCGCUUGGCUGGACAUGUGGCCCAUUCUGAAUCCCUCAUGGAACCCCUUUUUUGGCAACUGUUCAGCGCUUGGGCUUUGAGCUCCAGGCCCAAACGUUUUUGCUGGCUAACACCCACAUUCCAAACGCAUACACCCCUCUAAUUCAGACCAUUUUUCUUAGGGCUUAUAUCUGAAAGCCCAAGCCAGAGUUGUUGAUUACCACAGGUUUUGGGCCUGCACCCCCUUCUAAAUCUUAAUUAAUUUUCGUUUUGUUUAAUCAUAUUUAAUUAUUAUUAAUCAAUUGAUUUUUUUUGCUUAAAUUAAUCAUGUUUGUUAUAUAGGUUAAUUAUAAUUAGGUUAAUUAUUUUAAUUAGUUAAUUAUGAUUUAAUUAAUUAAUUAAUUUUGAUUAGUAGAAUAAAUUCUAAUUCUAAUUAAUUGAUUAAUUAUUGUCUUUAGAGAUUUUAGGUUUUGUUAAAUUGAACUUAGCUUAAUUUCAUUCUCGUCACAUAUUCAUGAAUUGUUUUUAAUUAAUUAAUUAGUUUUAAUUAAUUCUAAAUAAUCUUGAUUUUUAAUUCCAUUUAAUUAAUUUGCACAUAUUGACCAUUUUCCCCUUGGAAGAAAUUUUAAUUUUUAAUGCAUGAUCCAUUAGCUUAGGGUUUGCUUAGAGGUAAUUAAUUCUUUAAUUGAUUAAUUCAUUAGGUGGUUGUACAUAAACCAAUUAACGUCUAUGCAUCUCAGUGAUUAGUGUUGACCAAAGGUCACUUUGGUAAACCAAAUCCUUUGUAUUGUGCUUUAACCCCUAAGCUUAUUCAAGUGAUCAAAAGACCCUUUGAUCACGUGAUAGGGAAAGUCCAUUAUGCUCAAGCUUUAUUGGAUGUGUUGAAUCUCAGGAGCUCAAGACCUCAAGGUUCAAACCCAAGAUCAAGACUUCAAGGUCAAUGCCAAGUAAGCAUAGCUGACAAAGUUAACUACUUCUCAAGCACGACAAAGGUAUCAACUCUUGUCAAUCAUAAUUCAUAUUGUGUGGCAUGAGCCUUAAGAAACAGAGAAGGAAUGAGAGUGGAGGAUUCCAUAAACUCAUUUUGAAUAUCUUUGGGUACGGAUGAAUGACCCAAUUGUUCAUCGUAUUCACCUAUACUCAUGGACGUUAGCACAAUUCGAAUCAAAUGAUUGUCAAGUCUUCUUCUACAACAAGUAGCAUUGCAUCAUCAGGAUCAACACUCAGAAUCUUCUAUCAACAACUUGUCAAUUUUGAUUUAAGUUGUAUGUCAUGAGCCUUAAGUAACACAGAAUGAUGAGAGUGGAGCAUUCAUAUCCUUGUCUAGGAUAUCUUUGGGUAUGGGACGAAUGACCCAGUUGCUCAAGGUAUUCGCCUUUAUUCAUAGACUUUAGUGCAAUUUGAAUCAUAUAAUUGACAAGUUUUCUUCAAGCAAGCAUCAAUCAUUCAACACUUCAACAGUGAAGCAUCAUUGCACAUCAAUCAUUUUUCAACAUUGAAGCACCCUCCUCCUCCUCCUCUUGGAUUCAAUACCAGACUUUCCUCCUUGAUGUUCAUGCAUAUUUUGGGAUCAUUAUCUUAGGGUCACACGCCCAUUUCUUAAUCAAUUGCCUCAUGCAUUGCCUAUACAGUUACAGACUUUGGCAUUCUUAGUUCUUGCCCAUAAAGUGCAGACUUUGGCAACUUGAUUUGCCCAUGGAGUACAGACUCUAGCAACCCUUAAUUGUGCCUAUAAAGUUCAGACUUUGGCAUCCUUUAUUCUUUGCCUAUAAGGUGCAGAGCUUGGCAUUCUUGCCCUACAGAGUUACAGACUGUGGCAAGCCCCUUUUUUCUCUAUGGAGUUACAGACUCUAGUAACCUUUGAUUUUGUCGAUACAGUUACAAACUUUGAUAUUUUGUUCUGCCUUGCAGUCACAGACUUUGGUAUUCAUUCAUUUUGUCCAUGGAGUACAGACUUUGGCUACCUCUUUUAGUGCCUACACAAUUUAUACUUUGGCAUCAUAUUCCUUUGCCCUUAUUGAGUUGCAGACUUUGGCAUUCAAAUUUGUUUCUUUCCCUUGUAUAGUUACAGACUAUGGCAACCUAUGCUCAUUACUCUAUGGAGUUCAGACUCUGGCUAUAUCUCAUUCUGGCUUGUGGGGUUGCGAACCUUGUAACAUAUAUUUUCCUACCCUAUAGAGUCUCAAACUCUGGUAGCAUCUUUGGUUCAGACCAUGCCUUCCUUAAUACCCUAUGUUGAUUACCAUCAUUGGUUAAUGCCACAUUCUUUCUUUGUUAAGCAAUUUUCUUUGCCUCUGGGUAAUCUAAUUAAUCUACAUUUCCUUUGUUUUCGUGGUUCCACAAACUACGGAGCUCUGAAUUUCUCAUUACAUGAUGAGAAUAUGUUGACAUGAGGGUUCGAAUCCUCCUCGAGCAAUAUUUAUUCAUAUUUAUUUAUUCUUUCUCUAUUCUUCCAUUCAUCCCCAUAAUUCAUUAUUCACUACAUUCAUUCAAAUAUCUACUACCUUCAUUCACUUAUGUGAUAUACCUCUCUCUUUGAGCCAAAUACACCAUAUCUUUGAGCUCCAUAUUGUGUCUGCUUGUGAACCAAGAGAUAUUUUCUAUGGAACCAAACACUUAAUUCUCUUUGUUUUUUGCCGUACAAUAUAGUGGUGAAUGCUUCAGGCUACCCACAUAUUGGUUAAUGCAAGUUUUACUCUUGGUUCAGAUUUCAUCCCUUUUUGGAGUCAAACCAGUUUAUCCGUUGGUUCAGACCAUACCUUCAAUCACAACUUCUUUUCACCUCCCACCAUUGGUUUUAUGAACUACGGAGCUAUGAAUUCCUUAUUGCACUAUAAGGAUACGUAGGCAUGAGGGCCAUAAUUCUCUCUGAGCACUUUAUUUAUUUAUUUUCUUUUCCCUUUAUUCUUUCGCGAGUAACCUUUAGAUAUAACACACAUUCAAGAAAGAACAAUCAAAAUGGUUCUCAUUGAGUACAACGGAUGUGAGGGAUGCUAAUACCUCCCAUUUGCAUAACCGACUUCCUCACCCAGUUAUCUCUUUUCCUUGGGUUUUAUCGAUGUUUUCCCUUCACUUCGAGAACAAAUAGUGUUCGAUGGUGACUUUGUUGUAUGUUCCAGCGUGCGAUGUGUUUGGUUAUAUUUCUGCUAGCUUCACAUAGAUUCAAUGUUCUCAUCAUUUUUCGUUAUGAACAUCUCAUAUUGCUGAACUUGAAGAUUUGUUUUAGCUUCUUGAACUUGUUAGUUACCUUCAUAGGUAGCACAUAAAUAAUUAAAAAUAGUCUUAGCAGUAUACUUAUCAAUAAUCUUUAUAUACUCAGAAUGAGGUAGGGCAUCAACAAGAAUGCCUUGCAUUAUAUGAUGCUUUCUAUAAAUCUUGUGUUGAUCCAGAGUGAGAUACUUUUUGUAAGAAACCAAUCCAACAUCAUAGACUUGAACAUCGAUGCCAUGUUCCAAGAUAUCCCACAACUCAUCAUCCAAACCAAUGAUGUGAGUGUACAUAUUUCUCUUCCACCAUUCAAACUCAGUAGAGUCACCACUAAAUGUUAGUGGUCUAGUAGUAUAGUUGUUUUGACCAGAUGUACUUUGAUCAUAGUUGUUAUUACCACAAGGAGAAUCUCUAACAAGGCUAGUUAUUUCAGAACUAUCAACCAUGAUGGAAAAAGUAUUUUUCUCAAGAUCUUUUCUAUACCACGGUUAAGUGUUUAGAAAAACCAUGCUGAAGGUGAGAAAAAUACACAAGAAAGGGGGGGUGAAUUGUGUAUGCCAAAAACGUGUUCUGCUUCUGAUCAAGCAACUUCAGAAUCUGAACAAUGUUUAGAGUCUGAUAUCAUAAAUGGUAGCAUCAGAAGAAAUGAUAAAGAUCAGAAGUAAAAGCAAGCAACAAACAAAGAUUAUCCUGGUUCCUUUUCUCAACUGAGAGUAUUCCAGUCCCUUUGCCUCAAAAAGAGAUUUUCACUAUAAUCAAUAAAUUAAACUUUGAUCAAGCACUCUUGCAAGAGACUUCACUUGCUCAAUUAACCUAGAAAGAGAAUUAUGCUCAAGCAACCUUGCAAGAGACUUCUUCUCAAUCAACCUAGAAAGAGACUUUAUCUCAAGUGCAUAGACAAGAGACUUCAUUGCUCAAGCACGCAGACAAGAGACUUCCUCUACUUUAAACAAAUAGUUUAGUAGAUAUGGUAACCAUUAUACUUAGAUACACAAUCAGAAGUAUAGCAGUUGUGCAACAACCACAAAGGUUCGUAACCUCUUAACAUUUCUAAGAUAUACAAAGAUAAGAAAUCUUAAGAUCUUAUGCAAUAACAGUUAGAAAUUAAAGCUCAGAGUUAUGCUUAAGAUAUUGUAUUGCGUUGUUGUUGUACACCUUCCUUCAAAUCUUCAACUUCCUUUUAUAGAGGUAAAGUAAGAGUCAUUUGAGUGUUUAAACAUAAGAGAAAAUUAGUGAAGAAGCAUGCCAAGAGAGACAUUGAAGAAUGUAUUUGUUUAGAAGCAUUUUCCACUAAGUAAUGGAAUUGUUCACAACACCUUUCUAAGUACUAGGUGUCUACCAAAAGGUAGAAAAUAUUGAAGAGUUCACAUCACCGUUCCUUGAGCCUACAAAAUAAAACCCUAGUUGACUCUGUCUAGAAAUCAGGGGUUUGACAAGACUAGUCUGCUUUGGUACAAUGUACAGAUCAGAGGCUCUUCAAGCCUUCUAAGUAUGAGUUGUCACCAGAGGUAAGAACAUAUGAACUAGAGCCUAAACCUUCAGAGGCUGAUGAACACAUUCAGAGUGAUCACAUUCUGAUCAAUCAUAAUCAAAAUUGUAUUGCUUCUCCACAUAUGCUUUCAAUCAGGAUUAAUCAUAUGUUUGUGAUCCUAUACACUUGAACAUAUGUUAUUAUAAUUGUUUGUUCUUUAAGUACUUUGUUAUCAUAAAAAGCCAAGGGACAUGAACAAUCUUGUUCCAACAAGCUUGUGAAGUCAAAGAGCACGUCCCUAACCCCGAGAGCUCAAACCCUCUAAGGAUUAGCUAGUGCGAGACAAAAAAUGGUUGAGUCGAAGGAUGAUAUCUCAAUAGGUUUAAAAUAAUGAAUUCAAAAUAUUUCACUCAAGUUCACGAACAUGAGUUAGUCGAAAUGGGUUAGGCAUUCAAACGGUUGAAAGCUGAAAAGGUUAGGUUGAAUAAAUACCAUAAAAAAGAAAAAGUUGCUUAUGUAGAAAUAGAUGAAAAUGAUCAAGAAUCGGACAUAGUUUAUGAAUAUGUUGAAGGAAAUGAUAUUAACCUAUUGAGUUGUAGCCAGGACUUCCAUAUGUUUGUAAGGUCCUAAGACCAUGUAAUGGAAAAAAUCAUGUCAAACCUAGUAAAACUGAAAAAUUCAUUACAAAAACCUAUAUGUUUGAUGUAAUUAAAUGUGAUGAAAUUUUUUAUCUUUUGGUUGCCGACGGUCAAAUCAUAGUGGCAUAAGGAUUAAAGACGCUGCCAUAGGAACAAAGAAAGAAAAGAGGUUUUUGUAAGCAUCAUAAUUUUCUUGGUCAUAAAACCUCUCAAUGUGUUAUUUUCAGGGAUCUAGUACAUAAUGCUUUGAAAGGCAGAAGGUUAAAUUUUGGAGACAAAUCCAAGAAACCAAUGCAGAUUGAUACUAACCCUCUCAAAAUCCAAUAAGCACAUCUGAAGGUGUGUGUCGAAACCUUGAUGGUUGAGACUCCCAUGGAUAUCAAAGAAAAGGUCGAAGAAGUAAGUGUACUGGAUUAUGCUGAGAAGAUUAAGGUGGUGUAUCCUAAGGAUGAAGGAAAACUGGUCAAUUUCAUAAACUAUUGCACGCUGAAGGUUUCUGAAGUUAUGUUAUUCCCUCUUUGUAGUGUUGUUUUUAACAAGGAGGCUACCAAAUACCUCAAAAGUAUAAGGCCUCAACAACCAAAUAAGAACAAUUGGAGUGAAAGGAGACCAUAUUUUUCUUUUGAUAAGAUAAGAGUCCCUUACAAAAAAUACCAGGAGCCUACAAACAAGUGGAUAAGCCAAAGGAAAAUCUACCAUUUGUUGUUGUUCCCUCUGGUGAAUGGAUUUGACCAAUAGUCAAACCAAACUCUGUUCAACAUAAGUAUAGGGUAAUCGAGGUGGGUGUCGGUUCUUCUUAUCAUGAUAAUUCUUAAGUGUCAAAGAACUAUUCCUAUGGUUAUAUAAAUUAUUUGGGUAAAAAGUCCAUGACUAGAACCCAAUGGCGAAGGUACUAAAGGAAUAAUAAGGCAGGUAUGGAGGCUCCAGAGUCUAGUAAUAAUGGAAAAUUCAUAACACUAACAGAGGAUCGGGUGGAAAAGAAGCCCAUGAGGGAAAUAAUUUUUCCUUAUUUUCUUGCAAUAGUUAAACCAAAUGGCAAGGACCCAUUUCCAAAUGAAGAUGACGAAAUGCUGACAUACAAUUUCAAAUCUGGAUUCGAGAAUGAUUUUGAUGUUAUUUGUAAUGUUGUUUCUAAUUUUCCCAUUGAAUUCAAUAGGGUUAUUGAGGUUACAAAAGAAAAGGAGAAUGAGUUUGCUAAAGAAUCAACAAAGCAUAAGCCUUUGUGUUACUAUGUAAUGAAUAACGAUUGCAUAGAUAAAGAUAAUGUCAUUUUUGAAAGGCCUGAUUUAGGAAUGCAACAACACUUGAAGCCUCUUUUCACAUUGGUUAAGGUUGAGAAUGUAAGGGUUAAUAAAUUCCUAGUAGAUAGAGUGAUAGUUAUUAACCUAAUGCCACAAUCUUUGUUAAAGAAGAUUAGAAAAUAUGACACUAAAUUAAAGCCUCGUACCAUGGUUAUGCCCAAUUAUGAAGGGAAAAUGAGUUAUCUUUUAGGGGUCAUACAAGUUGACAUUGUGGUACGGACCAUUGAAAGAGCAACAUUAUUCACGGCCAUUUUGACCAAGGAAAAUUAUAACCUAUUUCUUAGUCGAGAAUUAAUCCCAUAGUGCAGGAGCAGAACCUUCGACGGUCCACCAGAGGAUCUCGAUUGGGAGACCUGAUAGAAUUGUAGAAAAUAUUGAGGCAAAUCAAAUUUAUUACUUAACUAAAGUUAACCAUAUAGAUAAGAAAAACAUUGAUAGACAACUGGUGAACAUUUUGCCAUGAAUGCCUAUUGGGACAUGGUUUUCUCUAUAGGGGGUGUGUUCUACUCUAUGAAGUUACAUAUCACACAUGGGUUCAUGAGGGAGAAAGAGAUCAUCGAAGGUACUAGAUGGUUAGAGACAGAAGAUAACAAUAAUUGAGUCGAACACACUUGCUCAAAUUUUGGCCUAUAUGGUUGAAAACAGAAUAAAGGAGGGCUUAAAGGUCAACUCUCAACAAAUGAUGGUUGUCAAAGCCAGUACAAUUGAAGUUAAUAAAACAUGUGAGGUUGGUGAAAAUCCAAUUUCAGCCAGCCAGAGGCUUGAUUACAAAUAUGUUGACGACCCUUUGGGAUUUGAGAAGGAUCCAAUAGCCUCAGAUAAGAGAAUACAAGAGCAAGAUCCAUUGGAAGAGGUAAAUUUAGGAGAUAAAGAAAUUAAAAAGCUAACUUAUAUCAGUGUAAAGAUUUAUCCAAGUAUGAAGAUCCAGAUGAUCAAAUUGCUUAAAGAGAUUAAAGAGUGUUUCACUUGGGAUUACGAUGAAAUGCUAGGACUUAGUCGAGAUCAGGUGGAGAUGAGAUUUCCUAUUUGACAUGACAAGAGGCUAGUGAAGCAGAUGCCAAGGAUAUUUGCACCAAAAGUUAUGUCAAAGAUCAAAGAAGAAAUUGAAAGUAUUCUGAGAAACAAGUUCCUACGAACUUCUAGGUAUGUUGAAUGGUUAGAAAAUAUAGUUCAUGUCAUUAAAAAGAAUAUAACUCUUACAAUUUGUAUAGAUUUUAGAGAUUUAAAUGUUACUACCUGAAAAGAUGAAUGCCUAAUGCAUGUAGCAAAAAUGUUAGUCGAUUCAGCAGUAGGUUUUUAGUAUUUAAGUAUGUUAGAUGGUUAUUUUGUGAUAUGCACUAACCUUUGAGACUUAUGCAUUUCCUUCAAAAUUCCUGAAACAACUUUGUUAACUUUUGGAAUAUUAAUUCUUUUGUGACUCAGAGGAAGUAAUCUGCCUUAUAAUUGAAAGAAUGACAGAAUUUGAUACAUGCAUAUAAAAUAAACGAGAUUGAUAUGAAAUAAAGGAGAAAUAAGAAAUGGAAUUAAGUAGAAGGGGCGCCACACUCUUUCUAAUCCAAGAGAGAAUGAUAAGCCUAUGGAUGAGGAUCACCACAAGAAAAGGAUUUCUUGAUAAGAUCAAUUUUGGUCCAAUCCAGAACCUAAGAGCAAAUACUCUCACUUACACAAUGUGUAAACUUGCCAAAAUUCAUUGAUCCAAAAAGAAGAUACAUGCCUCCUUUAUAUAGGAAUGGCUUAAGAUGAUGAAAUAAGUAAAAAUUAACUCCUAAGAAAACAAAAGGUUUCAGCCACUAAUUAUCAUGAUAGUGGGUUGAGUUAUUACAAAGAAAGUGCAAAAUAAAGAAGAGAUAGUGGGGUUCUUGAAAGGGCAGAAUAAUGGCAAUUCUUUAUUUACCACUUCUCUU